CGGAAUAUAGCGCAGCCAGGUAGCGCACCUGCCUUGGGAGCAGGGGGUCGCAAGUUCGAACCUUGCUAUUCCGACCA
Molecule: transfer RNA, 77 nt
Filed under: Fusobacteriaceae bacterium
Lineage: Bacteria; Fusobacteriati; Fusobacteriota; Fusobacteriia; Fusobacteriales; Fusobacteriaceae
Description: tRNA-Pro
Rfam family: tRNA
About the family: Transfer RNA (tRNA) molecules are approximately 80 nucleotides in length.
Source: RNAcentral